This 410-nucleotide ribosomal RNA is filed under the name Yersinia enterocolitica. RNAcentral's name for it is "bacterial SSU rRNA". It matches the Rfam family "Bacterial small subunit ribosomal RNA", at positions 58 to 464 of the family's 1533-position model. Lineage: Bacteria; Pseudomonadati; Pseudomonadota; Gammaproteobacteria; Enterobacterales; Yersiniaceae. The record is from RNAcentral.
CAAGUCGAGCGGCAGCGGGAAGUAGUUUACUACUUCGCCGGCGAGCGGCGGACGGGUGAGUAAUGUCUGGGAAACUGCCUGAUGGAGGGGGAUAACUACUGGAAACGGUAGCUAAUACCGCAUAACGUCUUCGGACCAAAGUGGGGGACCUUCGGGCCUCACGCCAUCGGAUGUGCCCAGAUGGGAUUAGCUAGUAGGUGGGGUAAUGGCUCACCUAGGCGACGAUCCCUAGCUGGUCUGAGAGGAUGACCAGCCACACUGGAACUGAGACACGGUCCAGACUCCUACGGGAGGCAGCAGUGGGGAAUAUUGCACAAUGGGCGCAAGCCUGAUGCAGCCAUGCCGCGUGUGUGAAGAAGGCCUUCGGGUUGUAAAGCACUUUCAGCGAGGAGGAAGGCCAAUAACUUAAU